RNAcentral lists this long non-coding RNA (312 nucleotides) under Ananas comosus (pineapple). Its description in RNAcentral is "long non-coding RNA (ACOM_LNC011642)". The record is from RNAcentral. Lineage: Eukaryota; Viridiplantae; Streptophyta; Magnoliopsida; Poales; Bromeliaceae.
CAGCAAAAAUACUUGGCGGUCAGUAUUUGGGACUCAAAGUCCAAAUUCUAGUUGAUUUAUAUUUUCAGCUAAGUUUAUUUUUAAAUAAAAAUAAACGAAGCGGAUAGCGUGUUACCAAUCUCUCUCAAAAAAAAAAAGAAAAAGCCAGAGAUGCAAAUAGAAAUAUGUAUAAUUUUUUUUGAUAUAAUCGCAGGUAUAUAAUAUAUCAUAACCGACUCACAAGUCACAACUGUAAAAUUAUAUAUUCUAACUAGAUUAACAAUAUUAAAUAAUAAAUAAUUUUUUUCAGAUGCGCAUACUCUACUCCCAACC